AUUGAACGCUGGCGGCAUGCUUUACACAUGCAAGUCGAACGGUAACAGGCCUUCGGGUGCUGACGAGUGGCGAACGGGUGAGUAAUGCAUCGGAACGUACCCAGAGGUGGGGGAUAACGCAGCGAAAGCUGUGCUAAUACCGCAUGUGAUCUGAGGAUGAAAGCGGGGGACCGAGCAGCAAUGUUUGGCCUCGCGCCUUUGGAGCGGCCGAUGUCGGAUUAGCUAGUUGGUGGGGUAAAGGCCUACCAAGGCGACGAUCCGUAGCUGGUCUGAGAGGACGACCGGCCACACUGGAACUGAGACACGGCCCAGACUCCUACGGGAGGCAGCAGUGGGGAAUUUUGGACAAAGGGCGCAAGCCUGACCCAGCAAUGCCGCGUGAGGGAAGAAGGCCUUCGGGUUGUAAACCGCUUUUGGCAGGAACGAAACGGUGUCCGCUAAUACCGGGCGCUAAUGACGGUACCUGCAGAAAAAGCCCCGGCUAACUACGUG
RNAcentral lists this ribosomal RNA (492 nucleotides) under uncultured bacterium. RNAcentral describes it as "partial 16S ribosomal RNA". It matches the Rfam family "Bacterial small subunit ribosomal RNA", at positions 29 to 507 of the family's 1533-position model. The record is from RNAcentral.